UUCAUUCCACAUUUGUAAAAGCUUUUGAAAUAAUACCAAACUUGUAAAAUACAUUUAUAUCAUAUUUCACAUUUUCAAAUUCAUACCAUAAUAAAAUCAUGUUUGAAUUUAUACCAUACAUAAAAUCACUUUCAUACCAUAUUAAAAUAAUGGCUAAUUUGACAUUAAGCACAAAUUAAACCCAAAAGGUGCAUUGAACAACUUGACUAGGUUGACUGGCUCAAAUCCGAUAAUUGCAAAGAAGUCCUCCAAAUUAUUGUAAUGGCACUUGCAUCCAAUUUAGUACAAUUUGAUCUUGUCCGGGCCAAUUUGAAUAAUUUAAUUGAUUCCGGUUCAGCUUGAGCCACUUUAAAUUCAACUAUAACCUGAAAUUGCUAAGUAACAAAUUAAAUCCAAUAUUUGUUUGUUAUCAUCAAAAUUUAUUAUUGGAUAAAAUCCAACAAAUACUAGUUAGAGUGCACAUGAGAAAAUCUCCAGUGAUAUCAUAUAUCUACAGGUAAAUGGUUGUUACUUAUCAGAAGUGUCGGAUCGUUGGCGUUAACCAUUGAUCCCAAAAGAUCAAACCGAUCAAUUUACAUAAAGCGUAUAGAUACAACGCCCACAACCUAACUAGCCUUACGCUACUUUGAAUAUGACUCUGCCAAAUCCAGUCUCACAUCAUUUCGAGCGUGACUCGGCCCAACCUGGCCUCCCGCCACAGGGUAGGAUGUUAGCCCAUUUAAGCCAACAAUUCCCUCUCUAUCAUCUGCACAAAUUUGCAACAUACGGGAAUUAAAACCCGUGAUCUCUAACUCGGAUACCACUUGUCGAAUCAUUGGUGGGCGCCGACCGUUAAUCCCAAAAGCAUGAUUUGUUAGAAAUACGCAAGUAAUUUAUUUAAAAUGUAUAGAUAUAAUGCCUAUGAGUUUCGAUUGUGACUCGGCCCAACCAGCCUCACGCUACUUCGAACAUAACUUGGCCCAACCCAGUUUCACGUCAUUUCGAAUGUGAUUCAGCCCAACCUGACCUCUCCGUCAUAGGGCAGGAUAAUGACCUAUUUAAGCCAACAAAAA
Molecule: long non-coding RNA, 1052 nt
Filed under: Ananas comosus (pineapple)
Lineage: Eukaryota; Viridiplantae; Streptophyta; Magnoliopsida; Poales; Bromeliaceae
Description: long non-coding RNA (ACOM_LNC019548)
Source: RNAcentral